Molecule: unclassified non-coding RNA, 520 nt
Filed under: Hevea brasiliensis (rubber tree)
Lineage: Eukaryota; Viridiplantae; Streptophyta; Magnoliopsida; Malpighiales; Euphorbiaceae
Source: RNAcentral
GCUCUUUAAAACACGAAACUGGUGCAAAAUAUUUUCAACUAAAAUGAAACACGUGCGAGAAACAGCCGCAGCAGUGGAUCGUGUAGACACGCGCCGUACGAUGCACGUUUGGAAUGUUUUUACCAAAUUGGUGUUCAAACAAGUAAAUAAAAGCAACACUUUGAUGCGCCCACCAAUAGCAUCAGUCACCCCCACAAUUCACAUACCAACAAAAUCUAAACGUUCCUCUCCUCCAUAACGGAAUAAUCAUCUACUUUAUCCACGCGCCGCCGCACUCUUCCCGUCGUUCAUGGGUGCUGUAGAACCUGUAGUUGACGAGGAAAAUGGAGAAAAGGAGACGAAGAUACGAGAUGUGGAGAAAGGUGAAAUGGAUAGUCAACAAAGGGGAUUUCAAGGUCAGCCUACGCCGGCGCCGGCGCCGGCAGAAUCAGGCGGUGAGAAUUUUCACAUGUCGAGAAUGCAGAGAUUGAGUGCUACGAAUCCUCUGAGGCUUGUGAUGAAUGCCGGAACUAGAGUUGCU